UGGGCGUUGUCUAGUGCACUC
This 21-nucleotide non-coding RNA is filed under the name Arabidopsis thaliana (thale cress). Lineage: Eukaryota; Viridiplantae; Streptophyta; Magnoliopsida; Brassicales; Brassicaceae. The record is from RNAcentral.